ACUCCUGCGGGAGGCAGCAGUGGGGAAUAUUGGACAAUGGGCGCAAGCCUGAUCCAGCCAUGCCGCGUGAGUGAUGAAGGCCCUAGGGUUGUAAAGCUCUUUCACCGGUGAAGAUAAUGACGGUAACUGGAGAAGAAGCCCCGGCUAACUUCGUUCCAGCAGCCGCGGUAAUACGAAGGGGGCUAGCGUUGUUCGGAUUUACUGGGCGUAAAGCGCACGUAGGCGGACUAUUAAGUCAGGGGUGAAAUCCCGGGGCUCAACCCCGGAACUGCCUUUGAUACUGGUAGUCUUGAGUUCGAGAGAGGUGAGUGGAAUUCCGAGUGUAGAGGUGAAAUUCGUAGAUAUUCGGAGGAACACCAGUGGCGAAGGCGGCUCACUGGCUCGAUACUGACGCUGAGGUGCGAAAGCGUGGGGAGCAAACAGGAUUAGAUACCCCUGUAGUCCC
RNAcentral lists this ribosomal RNA (445 nucleotides) under uncultured organism. RNAcentral's name for it is "partial 16S ribosomal RNA". It matches the Rfam family "Bacterial small subunit ribosomal RNA", at positions 335 to 797 of the family's 1533-position model. The record is from RNAcentral.